CGGGGAAUAACCCGUUGAAAGACGGACCUAAUACCGCGAUAAUACUAAAGUUAACUGCAUGGUAACUUUAUUUAAACAUUUAUGGCUUACAGAUGGGCAUGCGCAUGAUUAGCUAGUUGGAGAGGUAACGGCUCCCCAAGGCAACGAUCAUUAGGGGUUCUGAGAGGAAGGUCCCCACACUGGUACUGAGACACGGACCAGACUCCUACGGGAGGCAGCAGUGAGGAAUAUUGGUCAAUGGACGAGAGUCUGAACCAGCCAAGUCGCGUGCAGGAAGAAUGUCCUUAAUGGAUUGUAAACUGCUUUUGCAGGGGAAUAAAGUGCGAUCACGUGUGAUGUUUUGUAUUGUACUCUGCGAAUAAGGAUCGGCUAACUCCGUGCCAGCAGCCGC
This 391-nucleotide ribosomal RNA is filed under the name uncultured bacterium. Its description in RNAcentral is "bacterial SSU rRNA". It matches the Rfam family "Bacterial small subunit ribosomal RNA", at positions 137 to 518 of the family's 1533-position model. The record is from RNAcentral.